Molecule: ribosomal RNA, 492 nt
Filed under: uncultured bacterium
Lineage: Bacteria
Description: partial 16S ribosomal RNA
Rfam family: Bacterial small subunit ribosomal RNA
Source: RNAcentral
AUUGAACGCUGGCGGCAUACUUUACACAUGCAAGUCGAACGGUAACAGGCCUUCGGGUGCUGACGAGUGGCGAACGGGUGAGUAAUGCAUCGGAACGUGCCCAGAGGUGGGGGAUAACGCAGCGAAAGCUGUGCUAAUACCGCAUGUGAUCUGAGGAUGAAAGCGGGGGACCAGGCAGCAAUGUUUGGCCUCGCGCCUUUGGAGCGGCCGAUGUCAGAUUAGGUAGUUGGUGGGGUAAAGGCCUACCAAGCCGACGAUCUGUAGCUGGUCUGAGAGGACGACCAGCCACACUGGGACUGAGACACGGCCCAGACUCCUACGGGAGGCAGCAGUGGGGAAUUUUGGACAAUGGGCGCAAGCCUGAUCCAGCAAUGCCGCGUGCGGGAAGAAGGCCUUCGGGUUGUAAACCGCUUUUGUACGGAACGAAAAGGCUCUGGCUAAUACCUGGGGCUGAUGACGGUACUGUAAGAAUAAGCACCGGCUAACUACGUG